CCAGACAGAACUUUAAGAGUACUGCUUGGACUGAGUUUACUAACUUCGAAUAUGAAAUAGUUGAUCGAUAACCGGAAUAUACUCAAAAAAAAAGGUGUGCUCCGGACAAAAAUCAACUAACAAAA
Caenorhabditis elegans is the source of this 125-nucleotide small nucleolar RNA. Lineage: Eukaryota; Metazoa; Nematoda; Chromadorea; Rhabditida; Rhabditidae. The record is from Ensembl.